GAAUGUGAGGGUGAUCUGGCUGCGACUUCUGUCACCCCAUUGAUCCCCGGGGUUGAUUCGGCGGAUCUGGCUGGCUAGGCAGUUGUUCUCUUCCUCUCUCACCACUCCAUGUGCGUCCCUCCUGAAGCUGCAUGCUUGGUCAAAGAGGACAACCAUCUCCGCUAGAGGAGGACUGUUAUUUGGUCAAGGGUAUAUGAGAGGCUGUGCUCCCCUGCUAGCAUGUCUGAAAUCUGGACGCAUCUUACAAUCAAUGGCAUCCACUUUUAACUGGCAACAUUUUUUCUUUCCGAGUAGUAGGUAACUAAUAAUGUACCUUACAAUUGAUGGCAUCAGAUU
This 336-nucleotide small nuclear RNA is filed under the name Carlito syrichta (Philippine tarsier). RNAcentral's name for it is "7SK RNA (ENSTSYG00000035216.1)". It matches the Rfam family "7SK RNA". Rfam says of the family: 7SK was discovered as an abundant small nuclear RNA in the mid-70s but a possible function has only recently been suggested. Two independent studies have found that 7SK RNA binds the CDK9/cyclin T complex (known as elongation factor P-TEFb). The record is from RNAcentral. Lineage: Eukaryota; Metazoa; Chordata; Mammalia; Primates; Tarsiidae.